Molecule: long non-coding RNA, 2997 nt
Filed under: Setaria viridis
Lineage: Eukaryota; Viridiplantae; Streptophyta; Magnoliopsida; Poales; Poaceae
Description: long non-coding RNA (SVIR_LNC007042)
Source: RNAcentral
UAAAGACAUAACAAAGGUACGAUAUAUUACAACCAUAGUUUGAAACAAACUUAAUAGUGCAGGUUAGCAUGGUUCUAAGAGUUUAAAACAUAAACCAGUCCGGAAGAAAAAUAAACUUCUAAGUUUUAUUCUAGAGUAUCAUGAGACUCAUAAGAUACCCUAGGUCUUUGGGGCUUCCUCUUCAGUGAGUCCCUGCUGGUCUUCUGAAAACAACAACAAGGGAUCCCCUGAGUACGAAGUACUCAGCAAGUCUUACCCGACUAACCAAUAUAAUAACUUUCCUUGGAAGUGUAUGCUUAGCUUUUUUUGGUGUACUUGGCUAAUGCAAUUUUUGCCGAAAAGCUUACUACAAGUGAUGCCUUAGUUUUAUCUUUUAUUUGGGUUGUCAUUACCUAACCAUUCUAGAUGAUAACAGAAGUAAAAGCAAUCACAACUGUUAAAUCAUACAUUACUUGACAACAGAAGAUUUUAUAUUGCAUGAAGUAAUACUACGAUGCUCAACAGCGAUCAAGUGCAUUCAUAACCGAGAAUUGCGGCGAUCCGGAUCUAACUACAUCCUGCAGGAGAGUACCCUGAUCACCAGCAUUAUACGACUGUCCCGGUCGUAUCUAACAACCUCUCGAUUAGUAAAGUCAAUGAUUAGGAAUACGACUACCCGGACCCAGGGAUGCACCCCCACAUGGGACCCCACGUCUGGCCCGAUCUCCAUGUGAGUUUCAGGCUACACCCCUGCCAAUCUCCAGCACGUCAAGCGCGGGUACGAAGCAUUCCUGAUCAUAGAAUUUACUAAUCUACUGGGCUUUACUGGUCCCAUACCCAGUAAGUGAUCAGAUGCUUAUCACUUGACCAACAGUUAAGACACGAAUCGGGCCUUAACCAAAUUAAUCUAGCAGACAGAACUACAUCUCUAGCUUCUGUCCCUUUCCAUAUUCCAACUAUCCUUCAUAAGCAACAUGUAUGACUUAAGAGUUUUCCUUAAGGUCGGUAAACCAAGCAUGUAAGCAAGUAAGCAAUUCUAGACUUGGGUAGUUUCUAAGAUUUGAACAAGUGGCAAAGAUGUCCUUAAGUCAAGGCAUGAUCAUACACAAGAAUAGGUUUCAAUCAACUCCUAGACUUAGUGCAUACAAUAAGCAAAUAACCUAUGACUAGUCACAUGAAAUAACGACUCCAAAAUAGAUAGGUAUAAAUGCACCGGGGCUUGCCUGGGAUCAACAAAGGUUAGUUCUUCGGAAAACUUCUUUAUUAAAAGAGGCACUCCACAUUUCGCGAACGCUGUCCAUCUCCAGCUGAAUUCCAUAAAUUCCCACUUCAGGAGUUGUGCCGCCUACGAUUCAGUAUAUGCAAGAGUUAGAGAUGCAAAACUUUUAAAUACAAGACUAUACAACUUUCCUUCAUGAUAAAGUUGCAAGCCAACAAGGACUAUACAAUUUAUCAUGAUAAAGUUGCAAGCCAACACACAAAAACCCUAAAGAUUAACCCACCAUUUUUAUUUCCUUUACUAAACCUACCUUAGACCUCUUCUUUUAUUUUUAAAAGCAUUAUAAUAAUUUUCUAAUCUCAAAAACCUAAUUCCUAUGAAUUACUAAUGAUUUGUGGAUAAUAAAGCAUUUUUCAAGUUUUAUACAUUUAAUAAAGUUUAAGCAUUUAUUUAAAUACCUUAAAUAAAAAGGCAUUAAAUAAAUACCUAAAUUUUUAUUAUUUUUCCUAGGGUUUAAGAAUUUUAAUGCAUAAAGGAAAAUAAAAUAAUCCUAAUAAAAUUGGUUUCACUAAUUUUGGGCACUUCUAGAAUUUCCUGUGAAUUAAAUGGUGAAAACAGCAUUUAAUCUAUUUAUCUAAUAAAAGAAAACCUAAGGUUUAAUAAAAACCCCCGGCCCAAACUUUUCUCACUCGGCUUGCUUCUACCCACCAUCACUUCCACCUAGGGUCCAUCCGGUCUCCUAUUCUUCUUCUUCUUUUCUUCAUUGACAAGUGGGGCCCACGGCCGAAAUCUUCCCUUGGGCCAAAAGGUGGCCCGCCAACUCAACCUUCCACGCGUGGCCUUUUUGCGGCAGCCUUCUCUUUGGGCCGGCUCCCCCUUCUCUUCUUUUUCUCAACCCCGGCCGGCCCACCUUCUUUCUCCUUCACUUCUACCUGGGCUGCACGGCCCAAGCAACAUGACCGGCCUGCUCUUUCUUACAUGCCGACGGCCUAACUCCCUCCCUUUCAACCACCCGCCGGCCCUCUCUGUUCUUCGGCUAGCUGGGCCAUCGCCACCCCUUGGCCCACGACGGGCGGCCGGCUUUCUUUCUCCCUCUCACUCCCACCUGGGCCUCUCCUACCGCACACUGGCAACACGGCCCAAGCGCACAGACCGGCCUGCUUCUUUCCCUUCUUCUUCUAUGCCGCGCGGGCUUAGCUGGGCCGGCGUCUCUCUCUCGGCCCAAAACGGCGGUUGGCCUUUCUUCUUCUCCUUCUUCUCCUCACAACCCCCUGGCGCAUCUUCUUCCUUGCGCCAAAACAGGGGCACACGCCGGCGGGCAAAACGGGACGGGGUCCUGGCCAACGGCGGCUUGCCGGCGGCCGAGCCGACCGAGGCGGCGGCGCCCCAGGCCAACCGCCAGCUCGCCGGGAGGCGGCCCGAGCCGGCCCCUCCACGGGCGGCUGCGGCUUGGCCAACCGCCGGCCAUGGCGGCGCACGGAGGCGGCACGAGGACGACCGGCGGCGCACUCUACGGCAUCCACAUGACCCAAGCACCCCCUAAACCGGAUCAAACGAGUGAAAGAAGGGGCGGUGCGGAGGGCUCACCGGAGGACAGUGGUGGUGGCGGGCGGACCGGUACGGCGGUGAUUCGGAGCUUCGACGGCGAGGAAUUACUGAACGGAGCAGCGUGGGGCGUUGAGGAGGAGCUGACGGAACCUUGGGCGGAUGGAAUUGCAAAGAGAGGCGGCGGCGUGGGUGAAUUCGGCCGGCGGCGGUACUGAUUUGCUUGAGCUCGGUUCCUGGCGAUGUAAGCGGCG